GGAUUAGAUACCCGGGUAGUCCCAGCUGUAAACUAUGCAAACUCAGUGAUGCAUUGGCUUGUGGCCAAUGCAGUGCUGCAGGGAAGCCGUUAAGUUUGCCGCCUGGGAAGUACGUACGCAAGUAUGAAACUUAAAGGAAUUGGCGGGGGAGCACCACAAGGGGUGAAGCCUGCGGUUCAAUUGGAGUCAACACC
RNAcentral lists this ribosomal RNA (194 nucleotides) under uncultured Nitrososphaerota archaeon. RNAcentral describes it as "uncultured thaumarchaeote partial 16S ribosomal RNA". It matches the Rfam family "Archaeal small subunit ribosomal RNA", at positions 726 to 919 of the family's 1478-position model. Lineage: Archaea; Thermoproteati; Nitrososphaerota. The record is from RNAcentral.